UCGCGUGAGGGAAGACGGUCCUACGGAUUGUAAACCUCUUUUGCCGGGGAGCAACGGGGUCCUUGCGAGGGCCCGAUGAGAGUACCCGGAGAAAAAGCAUCGGCUAACUCCGUGCCAGCAGCCGCGGUAAUACGGAGGAUGCGAGCGUUAUCCGGAUUUAUUGGGUUUAAAGGGUGCGUAGGCGGGCUGUUAAGUCAGCGGUCAAAUGUCGGGGCUCAACCCCGGCCUGCCGUUGAAACUGGCGGCCUCGAGUGGGCGAGAAGUAUGCGGAAUGCGUGGUGUAGCGGUGAAAUGCAUAGAUAUCACGCAGAACUCCGAUUGCGAAGGCAGCAUACCGGCGCCCUACUGACGCUGAGGCACGAAAGCGUGGGUAUCGAACAGGAUUAGAUACCCUGGUAGUCCACGCAGUAAACGAUGAAUGCUAGCUGUCCGGUUCUACGGGACUGG
Molecule: ribosomal RNA, 447 nt
Filed under: uncultured bacterium
Lineage: Bacteria
Description: bacterial SSU rRNA
Rfam family: Bacterial small subunit ribosomal RNA
Source: RNAcentral